Molecule: transfer RNA, 90 nt
Filed under: Granulibacter bethesdensis
Lineage: Bacteria; Pseudomonadati; Pseudomonadota; Alphaproteobacteria; Acetobacterales; Acetobacteraceae
Also listed under: 5 other names
Description: tRNA-Ser
Rfam family: tRNA
About the family: Transfer RNA (tRNA) molecules are approximately 80 nucleotides in length. Their secondary structure includes four short double-helical elements and three loops (D, anti-codon, and T loops).
Source: RNAcentral
GGAGAGGUGGCCGAGCGGUUUAAGGCAGCGGUCUUGAAAACCGCCGUACGUGCAAGCGUACCGUGGGUUCGAAUCCCACCCUCUCCGCCA